CCUACGGGGCGCAGCAGUGGGGAAUAUUGGACAAUGGGCGAAAGCCUGAUCCAGCCAUGCCGCGUGUGUGAAGAAGGCCUUCGGGUUGUAAAGCACUUUCAGUGGGGAAGAAAGCCUUGGGGCUAAUACCCUCGAGGAAGGACAUCACCCACAGAAGAAGCACCGGCUAACUCCGUGCCAGCAGCCGCGGUAAUACGGAGGGUGCGAGUGUUAAUCGGAAUUACUGGGCGUAAAGCGCGCGUAGGCGGUCUGAUAAGCCGGUUGUGAAAGCCCCGGGCUCAACCUGGGAACGGCAUCCGGAACUGUCAGGCUAGAGUGCAGUAGAGGAAGGUAGAAUUCCCGGUGUAGCGGUGAAAUGCGUAGAGAUCGGGAGGAAUACCAGUGGCGAAGGCGGCCUUCUGGACUGACACUGACGCUGAGGUGCGAAAGCGUGGGUAGCAAACAGGAUUAGAUACCCCAGUAGUC
This 465-nucleotide ribosomal RNA is filed under the name Vreelandella stevensii. RNAcentral's name for it is "partial 16S ribosomal RNA". It matches the Rfam family "Bacterial small subunit ribosomal RNA", at positions 338 to 795 of the family's 1533-position model. The record is from RNAcentral. Lineage: Bacteria; Pseudomonadati; Pseudomonadota; Gammaproteobacteria; Oceanospirillales; Halomonadaceae.